RNAcentral lists this ribosomal RNA (468 nucleotides) under uncultured bacterium. RNAcentral's name for it is "partial 16S ribosomal RNA". It matches the Rfam family "Bacterial small subunit ribosomal RNA", at positions 28 to 507 of the family's 1533-position model. The record is from RNAcentral.
GACGAACGCUGGCGGCGUGCUUAACACAUGCAAGUCGAACGGAAAGGCCCUGCUUUUGUGGGGUGCUCGAGUGGCGAACGGGUGAGUAACACGUGAGUAACCUGCCCUUGACUUUUGGAUAACUUCAGGAAACUGGGGCUAAUACCGGAUAGGAUCUCCUGCUGCAUGGUGGGGGUUGGAAAGUUUCGGCGGUUGGGGAUGGACUCGCGGCUUAUCAGCUUGUUGGUGGGGUAGUGGCUUACCAAGGCUUUGACGGGUAGCCGGCCUGAGAGGGUGACCGGACACAUUGGGACUGAGAUACGGCCCAGACGACUACGGGAGGCAGCAGUGGGGAAUAUUGCACAAUGGGCGGAAGCCUGAUGCAGCAACGCCGCGUGCGGGAUGACGGCCUUCGGGUUGUAAACCGCUUUCGCCUGUGACGAAGCGUGAGUGACGGUAAUGGGUAAAGAAGCACCGGCUAACUACGUG